This 438-nucleotide ribosomal RNA is filed under the name uncultured bacterium. RNAcentral's name for it is "bacterial SSU rRNA". It matches the Rfam family "Bacterial small subunit ribosomal RNA", at positions 29 to 502 of the family's 1533-position model. The record is from RNAcentral.
AACGAACGCUGGCGGCAGGCCUCAAACAUGCAAGUCUAGGGGGUGUAGCAAUACAUCACCGGCGGACGGGUGCGUAACGCGUGGGAAUAUACCUAUUGGUUCGGAACAACACAGGGAAACUUGUGCUAAUACCGAAUGUGCCCUUACGGGAAAGAUUUAUCGCCAAUGGAUUAGCCCGCGUCCGAUUAGCUAGUUGGUGAGGUAACGGCUCACCAAGGCUCCGAUCGGUAGCUGUUCUGAGAGGAAGAUCAGCCACACUGGGACUGAGACACGGCCCAGACUCCUACGGGAGGCAGCAGUUGGGAAUCUUGGACAAUGGGGGAAACCCGUAGAUCCAGCCAUGCCGCGUGAGUGAAGAAGGCCUUAGGGUUGGUAAAACUACUUUCGCCGGUCGAAGAAUAAUAGACGGUAACCGGAGAAGAAGACCCGGCCGUAACU